UGAGGAAUAUUGGUCAAUGGGCGAGAGCCUGAACCAGCCAAGUAGCGUGCAGGAUGACGGCCCUAUGGGUUGUAAACUGCUUUUAUGGGGGGAUAAAGUGCGUGACGUGUCAUGCAUUGCAGGUACCACAUGAAUAAGGACCGGCUAAUUCCGUGCCAGCAGCCGCGGUAAUACGGAAGGUCCGGGCGUUAUCCGGAUUUAUUGGGUUUAAAGGGAGCGUAGGCUGUCUAUUAAGCGUGUUGUGAAAUAUACCGGCUCAACCGGUGGCUUGCAGCGCGGACUGGUCGACUUGAGUAUGCAAGAAGUAGGCGGAAUUCAUGGUGUAGCGGUGAAAUGCUUAGAUGUCAUGACGAACUCCGAUUGCGCAGGCAGCUUACUGUAGCAUAACUGACGCUGAUGCUCGAAAGUGCGGGUAUCAAACAGG
RNAcentral lists this ribosomal RNA (424 nucleotides) under Fusobacteriota bacterium. Its description in RNAcentral is "Fusobacteria bacterium partial 16S ribosomal RNA". It matches the Rfam family "Bacterial small subunit ribosomal RNA", at positions 355 to 776 of the family's 1533-position model. Lineage: Bacteria; Fusobacteriati; Fusobacteriota. The record is from RNAcentral.